This 534-nucleotide small RNA is filed under the name Pongo abelii (Sumatran orangutan). Its description in RNAcentral is "processed transcript". Lineage: Eukaryota; Metazoa; Chordata; Mammalia; Primates; Hominidae. The record is from RNAcentral.
CCUUACUGCUGAGGCUAAGAAGAGGAUCUUUUCUACUUUACUCCAUUUAGGGUUUUUCUUUAUAUCUGUGUAGAUUGUGGCUUUUUGUUUUUUCUUUUUAAUUUUAUUUUAAAACAGGAAGAACAGUUAUCUGAUAUUAAAAAUCAAGGAAGCAAUAUUUGUAUUGGUCACAAUAGGCUCAGACUAAAAGAAUUAUGCUGGCCCAGUCAUAUAUGCACAGUUAGACCACUCCGGCGGACAUCAUAGUGACAAGAUUAACAAGUCAGAGUCUGUGGUGUAUGCGGAUAUCCGAAAGAAUUAAGAGAAUACCUAGAACAUAUCCUCAGCAAGAAACAAAACCAAACUGGACUCUUGUGCAGAAAAUGUAGCCCAUUACCACAUGUAGCCUUGGAGACCCAGGCAAGGACAAGUACAUGUGUACUCACAGAGGGAGAGAAAGAUGUGUACAAAGGAUAUGUAUAAAUAUUCUAUUUAGUCUUCCUGAUGUGAGGAGCCAGUGUUGCAUGAUGAAAAGAUGGUAUGAUUCUACAUAUG